Molecule: ribosomal RNA, 512 nt
Filed under: uncultured bacterium
Lineage: Bacteria
Description: partial 16S ribosomal RNA
Rfam family: Bacterial small subunit ribosomal RNA
Source: RNAcentral
GACGAACGCUGGCGGCGUGCCUAAUACAUGCAAGUCGAGCGAAUCAAUAGGAGCUUGCUCCUGUUGAUUAGCGGCGGACGGGUGAGUAACACGUGGGCAACCUGCCUGUAAGACUGGGAUAACACCGGGAAACCGGUGCUAAUACCGGAUAAUCCUUUUCCUCUCAUGAGGGAAAGCUGAAAGUCGGUUUCGGCUGACACUUACAGAUGGGCCCGCGGCGCAUUAGCUAGUUGGUGAGGUAACGGCUCACCAAGGCGACGAUGCGUAGCCGACCUGAAAGGUUGAUCGGACACACUGAGACUGAGACACGGCCCAGACUCCUACGGGCGGCAGCAGUAGGGAAUCUUCCACAAUGGACGAAAGUCUGAUGGAGCAACGCCGCGUGAGCGAUGAAGGCCUUCGGGUCGUAAAGCUCUGUUGUUAGGGAAGAACAAGUACCGGAGUAACUGCCGGUACCUUGACGGUACCUAACCAGAAAGCCACGGCUAACUACGUGCCAGCCGCCGCCGUAA